CCCGUUCCCGUAGGGUUUUCUUUUUUCUUCCCGCUCUCCAAAUUUCCGGAUUACAGACCUUGGCUCGUAUGUCGUUUCCUCGGGUUACCGGUUUCAUAAACCUAACUAGUGCUGGAAACUGCUGGCGCGCCACCCGAGAAUUUUAGAGCCUCGGUAGGUUUGGUUGUUGGGAACUCUGAUCAUUGUGAUGCUGAGAGGCUCAGUGGAUCUGCAGUCUGGCUCUCCCUGCUGUUAGCAGCCCUUCAGGACAACACACAUUCUGCAGGGUAAUCGUAAAGCAUCUACUGGGUGCUAUGCAACGAGAUGGGUCACAAGCCUGGAAGCCACUGGUAAGUGUCAUUCUAGGCACUGCAGUUCUCUAAAUCUCUUAUUCUUUGGACCAUCCCCUAACCACUGUCUGUGCCAGCAAGUAUUCACCCCACUUCACAAAGAAGGUGAAACCUCUUAAGUUUACCAGCUGGCAGAGUUGGAAAUGGAUCCUCAACUCAUGGGGCAAAGCUGGGACUGACUGACCCACUCAUCUGCAUGGAGCUACACAAAAUAAUCUCUAUCAACUGCAGCUCCAAGUCCUGGUUUUCAAUCCACCAACUGAAUGAUCUGGGGUAGGAAAAGCUGAUAGGAGUUGCUGUCUUCUUCCUCCUCUUAGUUUUCUUCUUUCAUGUUGUCUCUGCUGCUUCCCUUCCAGGGUAAACCAUCUCUCCCUCAGUGCUCAAUAGUUCAUGACUUACCAGGUAUACUAAGGCUACCAGUCCACAAAUAUAACAGUAACUAAUAAUAGUGACUUUUCACGAUCUUGUUGUGGGCCAGGGUCAGGAAGAGUGCUUAUCUCAGCUCCCCCCAUCCCUGUGUACACUCCCUUGGUCCUUUUUUCUCCUUGUCCUGAAUGCCCCCAGCUCUUCACCCUUUCUCCUCCUCUCCCCACACGCACUCUUCAGCUCUGCAGGCACCCCUUGGCAUCACCUUCUAAGUUUUUUUACUCCACUGGACUGCUGAGGAUGUCAACUGGGUCUUGUACAUUCGAAACCCUAAAGCCAGGCCCAGAGGAGGAUCUGUCAAAGGUGUUGAUGAUCAUCUUUACAUCAAAGUCUUUGAAUAAUAGUAGUUACUGUUACAUGAAGGCCCCCCAAGACCUGGGCUUUACACACCACAGUCCCACUAAGCAAUAGCAUCCAUCCUUCACACAAAGGAAAUCCAUGCUGGGAGAGCCUAGGAGCCCUGCGCAGGCCACAAUGGGGAACACAGCAGCUGGGAUCCAAACCCUGUUCUUUUAUCUUAAUUUUCCUCAAACGUGCCAAAGUGUGCCUUGUCUAUAGGUAUUUGUACUCCCCUCACUCCUGCCUCGUAGUAUUUACCCUAACAUCUUCACCUGGUAUCCCCUUCCAGCUCUAAACUCAAGUAUCAGCUCCUCAGAACUGUCUUCCUGCCCAGUUCUAAACUAGUAUUGCCCACCCAUGUCACUCCCCUCUAGCAUAUUCCAUUGUUUCAUUUUUCUUCAGGGCACUGACUGCCAUUUCAAAGUAUCUGCUUCAUUAUCACUCUCUACCUUCUCUACAGCACUGCCCAAUGGAGCUCUCUUCGUUUAAAGAAAUGUUCCAGAUACACUGUCCAACAUAGUAGUCUUUAGCUGCAGGUGACCAGUGACCAUCUGAAAGAUGGCCAAUGUGACUAAGGAACUGAACUGUUUUAAGCUCAUUUUAGUCUGUUUAAAUGUAAUCAGCCACAUGCUAGUGGCUGCUCCAGAAUAAAUACAGGCCCAGUGAGACAAACAGGGGGCCUUACUACCCUGCUCAACACUGUGACCCACCCCUGUAACAGUAUGUGGCAUUUUGGCAGGUGCUCAAGCAGUAUUUAUUGACUCAACACAGCUUCAAAGAGUGACUUGAGUGUUUUAACUGUCUGGAUUUUCCCAUAUUUCUGUCAUAUUACAAGGAAUCUCACUAGCAUUUUAGUUGUGUCCCACCUGUAAAUUAUAAUGGGAGGACUGCUGUUGCUACAAAGUUCCCUUCUACUUGAGAGCCAGAGCAGGAUGGGAGUGUAGGCCACCAAGUAAGAAGACACCUGGUCUAUACUCCCCCUGCUUCUUCCCAGACCAGCCAGGUCAGAGACUUGCAUUUCUGCUUCUGCUGGUAGAAUGGCUACAUCAACACUUCUCUAGAGGCUGCUGGCUGGAAUGAUGGUAGGACUUAAGAAUGGGACUUCGUGGGCACCUGGGUGGCUCAGAUGGUUAAGCGUCUGCCUUCGGCUCAGGUCAUGAUCCCAGGGUCCUGGGAUCGAGUCCUGCAUUGGGCUCUCUGCUCCUUGGGAGCCUGCUUCUCCCUCUGCCUCUCUCUCUCAUGAAUAAAUAAAUAAAAUCUUUUAAAAAAAAAGAAUGGGACUUCGUAACACUUCUAGCCUUUGUAAGUCCUCAAAAAGAAGUCACUGCACUCUACCUCUGAAACUAAUGAUUAAAAAAAAAAAAAGUCACUGCUUCUACUUAUUCUAUAUCCAACUUAAUUUUUUCAAAUAGAAAUUCCUUAAUACUUUAUUCCUUAAAAAUUCCUAAUCAUUUCUUAAAUAAUUUAUUCUUAGGGCACCUGGGUGGCUCAGAUUGUUAAGCGUCUGCCUUAGGCUCAGGUCAUGAUCCCAGGGUCCUGGGAUCGAGCCCCGCGUCGGGCUCCCUGCUCCUUGGGAGCCUGCUUCUCCCUCUGCCUCUCUGUCUCUCAUGAAUAAAUAAAUCUUAAAAAAAUAAUACUAAUAAUUUAUUCUUAGAUCCCAUUUUAAACACCUACUAACAAAAUCUUUCCUUUUAAAUUGGCUACUCCUGGUAUAAGCCAAAGCUAUUAGUCUCUGUAUUAUUUUGUAAUUUGUCACACUGAUGAACAAACUGUUUCAGAGGAUUAGUUUUUUUAAAGUGGUUAACUGUUAAGUUACAAAUAUUUCCUUUUUAAUAUUUUUCUUAUUUUGUGCUUGAGUGAGAACAAUGCUAUGUAUACUUUGCAAAGUCUGUCAACAUUCCAGCCUGUUCUGUCAUUGAACUGCUCAUGUUCCAUGGAAAUUGUCUUUUAACAAGAAGUUGGAAAAUAUUCACUGUCCAGGUCAAUAACAGGCAGAUAGCCACUUUGUUCUAGAAAAGUUAACUUUAGUAUUUUUCUGUGACCCACUUUGGACAACCUUACACUUUUCCAGAAAUCUUUCCAUUUUAUUGUUUGCUCAUUCUCACACUCAAGAAGUAAUUCCUGGGCACUUAUGUGUCAGGGACUUGUAACACAGCAGGAAAAAGAUAGCAGUUUCCAAUUUAUCGGCAUGGUUAUGGGCAACACUUCUUAAAAUGCAAAGUUACCCUCCCACCCAGUUUCCUUCUCAGGAAGUCCUCACAGCCUAUCAGCUUCUAUAUUCAGUGAUAACCAAUGUGUAUUUUUUUUUAAAGACACUGAUAUUACGUGCAUCUAUGUAUCUUUAUACAUCUUAAACAAUAUAUUUUUAAGAAAUACAUGUAUCUUGGAAACUUUCAUAUCAGUACAUAGACCUGGCUCAUUCUUUGUUACAGCUGUACAAAGUAUUAUAAACUACACGUGUUGCUGAAUGUGUGUGUACUGCUGUUUCCCCGUGUAGGUUUUUAAUUUGCCUUUUGUCCUUUCAGAAAAUUAGCUCUUGGGUUCUUUUUCUUCUUCUCCAUUUUUGAUUUAUUUGAACUGUAUUUAUCUUUCCUCUUUCCUUAGGACUUUUGGAGUCAAAUGCUUCUUAGUUCAUUUGUUUUCCUUUUUUUUUUAAGCAAUUUCUUCACCCAACAUGGAGCUUGAACUCAAGACCCCAAGGUCAAGAGUCACAUGCUCGUCCUACCGAGCCAGCCUUGUGCCCCUAUUUUCCUUCUUAUUCAAUUAAAAGGCAUUUUCAGGCCUUGAAAUUACCCCAGGGAUUACAUCUGGACACCAGGCAGAGCAGCUUCCAGAUAAAAGGAUCAAGAUUACAUGGGUCCAGGGUGCCUGGGUGGCUCAGCCGGUUAAGCCUCUGCCUUCGGCUCAGGUCAUGAUCCCAGGGUCCUGGGAUCGAGUCCCGCAUCGGGCUCCCUGCUCUGUGGGGAGCCUGCUUCUCCCUCACCUCCCCACUUGUGCUCUCUCACUAUCUCUGUCUCUCUCAAAUAAAUAAAAUCUAAAAAAAAAAAAAAAGGAUUACAUGGGUCCAAAAGAGCAAAUAUAUGGAAGGUGACAGAGAAUGUAUUCUUGAAUAAAGGUUGCACAGUAUGUGACCACACUCCACUAGGCUGGAUUCUUGCCAAACAUGUUUUGAUAGUCACUCGAGAGUGUAACUCUUGGCCCACUCUCCAGGAUGUGAGCCUUUCAGAGUUCUUAAUAGCACUAUGUAUCUCAAGAUUUCCCCUUAUCAUCCCUUACCCACCCUCUAGUCUGAGAGCCUGGCAUUGUCUUCAAAAUCUUUGAAGACAUCCUCUUGUUUUUUAGUUUCUUCAACCAUUCAUUCACCCAACAGUUUCCUGGGCUAGAGAUUGAGUCAUUGUCUUAGCAACUGGGAACAUACACGGGAAACUGAAAUACAGACUGCUCUCAUGUUGUUUAAUAUUUGUUCUAGGGUGCCUGGGUGGCUCAGUCGUUGAGCGUCUGCCUUCGGCUCAGGUCAUGAUCCCAGGGUCCUGGGAUCGAGCCCCGCAUCGGGCUCCCUGCUCUGCAGGAAGCCUGCUUCUCCCUCUCCCACUCCCCCUGCUUGUGUUCCCUCUCUCGCUGUGUCUGUCAAAGAAAUAAAAAAUCUUAAAAAAAAAAAAAAAUUUGUUCUAGGUGUUCAGGUCAGGUAACAGAAUAAGUUGGAAAAAUACAUGAUCUGUUUUCCUGUAUUUGUAUAUAUUUAUAAUGAUCAAAGUUUUAUUUAAAGUUUUCCUUCUGUAUGAUUAUCUCAUAUAAAAUAGGAUGAGACACUUCAUUUUUAUUCUUCUUCAGUAUAAGUUUUUUGUUUUGUUGCUGUUCUGUCAAAUAAGGUGGGAACUAAGGCUGAUGAUUACAGAUUACAUUGAGGGUCUGCUCUCAUAUGAGUCCUCUGAUGUUGAAUACAAUGAGGACUCCUACUGAAGGACUUCUUGCCAGUGGGUUCUGUGCCUCCUGAAGCCUUCCUAACACUGAUUCCAUUCUCAGGUGUUUCCCAGUAUGAUUGCUGUGAUGCUGAGUAAGAGAGCUAUGCAUGAAAUCCUAUCCACAGCAGUCACAUUCCCUUGGCUUUGGAGUUCUCAGAGGUAAUUAUUUGGUGUGAGAACUUUUCCACAUUUAAUACAAUUGGGUUUUUUUGUGUUUUUAUUUUUUCCAGUAUGAGCUCUCUCAAGUCAUACCAGAGUGAAUCAGGCCAGAAGCCUUUCCAGCUAUGAUCAUAUUCCUGGGCUUUCUUCCCUGUUUGAGUUCUCAUGUCAAAAAAACUCAUGAAAAGAACUUCCUCCAUUCAGGGUCUUAGCAUGUUAGUCUCCCAUGUGAGCCUUUCCUUAAAGCCUGAGUUUAAAAUAGGCUUUCUCACACUAAACACAUUUAUUCAGUCUUGUUCUUAAAUAAAUUACCCUUUGUAUAAAACAACUGAUUUCCUACAUCCACUACACAUUUGCUUUAUAGCCCGUGUGAAUCCUCUCAGGCUACACAAAGGGUGAAAUCUAGAAAAGGAUUCCUUCUCUUCCUCCCAAAAAAUAAUCUCCUUGUAGAAGUUAUUUUUUUCUGCUAAAGCUUGCACUAAUUUGUGUUGCUACAUUCAUAUUUGUAGGGCUCAUCUCUCCUGCUUCAUUCCUUGACAGGUGAAGAAUUAAAUGUCCUGCAGGCUUUCCUAUAA
This is a long non-coding RNA of Mirounga angustirostris (Northern elephant seal), 5790 nucleotides long. RefSeq lists it as uncharacterized. The record is from RefSeq and is a predicted model, not a curated record. The transcript is spliced from 2 exons. Lineage: Eukaryota; Metazoa; Chordata; Mammalia; Carnivora; Phocidae.